Molecule: ribosomal RNA, 468 nt
Filed under: uncultured bacterium
Lineage: Bacteria
Description: bacterial SSU rRNA
Rfam family: Bacterial small subunit ribosomal RNA
Source: RNAcentral
CGCCAGACUCCUACGGGAGGCAGCAGUGAGGAAUAUUGGUCAAUGGGAGAGAUCCUGAACCAGCCAAGCCGCGUGAGGGAAGACGGCCCUAUGGGUUGUAAACCUCUUUUGUCGGAGAACAAAACCCGGGACGUGUCCCGGACUGCGUGUAUCCGAAGAAAAAGCAUCGGCUAACUCCGUGCCAGCAGCCGCGGUAAUACGGAGGAUGCGAGCGUUAUCCGGAUUUAUUGGGUUUAAAGGGUGCGUAGGCGGUCCGUUAAGUCAGCGGUAAAAUUGCGGGGCUCAACCCCGGGGCUGCCGUUGAAACCGGAGCGCUAGAAUUCCGAUGCCGUCGGAGGAAUGUGUGGUGUAGCGGUGAAAUGCAUAGAUAUCACACAGAACACCGAUUGCGAAGGCAUCUGACGAAUCGGAGAUUGACGCUGAUGCACGAAAGCGUGGGUAUCGAACAGGAUUAGAUACCCGAGUAAC